Molecule: ribosomal RNA, 115 nt
Filed under: Danio rerio (zebrafish)
Lineage: Eukaryota; Metazoa; Chordata; Actinopteri; Cypriniformes; Danionidae
Source: RNAcentral
GCCGGCAGCUAGCUCUCUGCAACUCUCACAUGGUCGCCCACUGAAGCUAAGCAGGGCUGCGCCCGGUCAGUACCUGGAUGGGAGACCACAUGGGAGAGCUAGGUUGCUGCCAGAA